RNAcentral lists this ribosomal RNA (253 nucleotides) under uncultured bacterium. RNAcentral describes it as "partial 16S ribosomal RNA". It matches the Rfam family "Bacterial small subunit ribosomal RNA", at positions 524 to 776 of the family's 1533-position model. The record is from RNAcentral.
UACGGAGGGUGCAAGCGUUAUCCGGAUUCACUGGGUUUAAAGGGUGCGUAGGUGGGCAUGUAAGUCAGUGGUGAAAUCUCCGGGCUUAACCCGGAAAGGUCAAUCGAUACUGCGGGGCUAGAGUGCAGAAGGGGCAACUGGAAUUCUCGGUGUAGCGGUGAAAUGCGUAGAUAUCAGGAGGAACACCGGUGGCGAAGGCGGCUAUCUGGACAGAGUCUGACGCUGAGGCGCGAAAGCUAGGGGAGCAAACAGG